This 295-nucleotide long non-coding RNA is filed under the name Phoenix dactylifera (date palm). RNAcentral describes it as "long non-coding RNA (PDAC_LNC012919)". The record is from RNAcentral. Lineage: Eukaryota; Viridiplantae; Streptophyta; Magnoliopsida; Arecales; Arecaceae.
GUCUAAGCGGUUGAUGGCGAUUGGAUCAAGAGUUGGUCAAUGAUCGAAUCAUGGAGGCUUGGAACCAAUUCAAGAGUUGAAGACCAGUUGAUCGAUUGACGUGCAUGUGCUUGUAAUACGACCUAACUAGAAUCCAUGAUCAUCACCUAUUUAAAGUUUAGCUUUAAUUAUUGCUGCGAUUAUAACUGCCUGCAAUGUGCCGUUUGCAUGUGAUGUGAAUGUGAGUCGGGUAGAUAGGUUUACAUGUGAUGUAGCAAACCCAAUUGAGACCUAAAUCAAAACCUCCUCAAUCAAN